RNAcentral lists this ribosomal RNA (497 nucleotides) under uncultured bacterium. Its description in RNAcentral is "bacterial SSU rRNA". It matches the Rfam family "Bacterial small subunit ribosomal RNA", at positions 383 to 896 of the family's 1533-position model. The record is from RNAcentral.
CUGAAGCAGCAACGCCGCGUGAGGGAUGAAGGCCUUCGGGUUGUAAACCUCUUUUCUCAGGGAAGAUAAUGACGGUACCUGAGGAAUAAGCCACGGCUAACUACGUGCCAGCAGCCGCGGUAAUACGUAGGUGGCAAGCGUUGUCCGGAUUUACUGGGCGUAAAGAGCGCGCAGGCGGUUGAUUAAGUCGAAUGUGAAAGCCCCCGGCUUAACUGGGGAGGGUCAUUCGAUACUGGUCGACUUGAAGGCAGGAGAGGGUAGUGGAAUUCCCGGUGUAGUGGUGAAAUGCGUAGAUAUCGGGAGGAACACCAGUGGCGAAGGCGACUACCUGGCCUGUUCUUGACGCUGAGGCGCGAAAGCUGGGGGAGCAAACGGGAUUAGAUACCCCGGUAGUCCCAGCCGUAAACGAUGGACACUAGGUGUUGGUGGUAUCAACCCCGCCAGUGCCGUAGCUAACGCAUUAAGUGUCCCGCCUGGGGAGUACGGCCGCAAGGCUA